This 497-nucleotide ribosomal RNA is filed under the name uncultured bacterium. RNAcentral describes it as "partial 16S ribosomal RNA". It matches the Rfam family "Bacterial small subunit ribosomal RNA", at positions 28 to 507 of the family's 1533-position model. The record is from RNAcentral.
GAUGAACGCUGGCGGCGUGCCUAAUACAUGCAAGUCGAGCGAACGGACGAGAAGCUUGCGUCUCUGAUGUUGGCGGCGGACGGGUGAGUAACACGUGGAUAACCUACCUCUAAGACUGGGAUAACUUCGGGAAACCGGAGCUACUACCGGAGGAUAUUUUGAACCGCAUGGUUCAAAAGUGAAAGACGGUCUUGCUGUCACUUAUAGAUGGAUCCGCGCUGCAUUAGCUAGUUGGUAAGGUAACGGCCUACCAAGGCAACGAUGCAUAGCCGACCCGAGAGGGUGAUCGGCCACACUGGAACUGAGACACGGUCCAGACUCCUACGGGAGGCAGCAGUAGGGAAUCUUCCGCAAUGGGCGAAAGCCUGACGGAGCAACGCCGCGUGAGUUAUGAAGGUCUUCGGAUCGUAAAACUCUGUUAUUAGGGAAGAACAUAUGUGUAAGUAACUGUGCACAGCUUGACGGUACCUAAUCAGAAAGCCACGGCUAACUACGUG